RNAcentral lists this unclassified non-coding RNA (281 nucleotides) under Paramycosphaerella sp. RNAcentral's name for it is "partial contains 5.8S ribosomal RNA, internal transcribed spacer 2, and large subunit ribosomal RNA". The stretch from base 1 to 71 matches the Rfam family "5.8S ribosomal RNA", at positions 84 to 154 of the family's 154-position model. The record is from RNAcentral. Lineage: Eukaryota; Fungi; Ascomycota; Dothideomycetes; Mycosphaerellales; Mycosphaerellaceae.
GUGAGUCAUCGAAUCUUUGAACGCACAUUGCGCCCCGUGGUAUUCCGCGGGGCAUGCCUGUUCGAGCGUCAUUUCACCACUCGAGUCUGACUCGGUAUUGGGCGCCGCGGUGUCAACCGCGCGCCUCAAAGUCUCCGGCUGGGCGACCCGUCUCCAAGCGUUGUGGCAUACGUCUCGCUAGGGAGCCGCGGGUAGUCUCGGCCGUUAAACACCCCAUCACAGGUUGACCUCGGAUCAGGUAGGGAUACCCGCUGAACUUAAGCAUAUCAAUAAGCGGAGGA